AGAGUUUGAUCAUGGCUCAGAUUGAACGCUGGCGGCAGGCCUAACACAUGCAAGUCGAACGGUAACAGGAAGAAGCUUGCUUCUUUGCUGACGAGUGGCGGACGGGUGAGAAUGUCUGGGAAACUGCCUGAUGGAGGGGGAUAACUACUGGAAACGGUAGCUAAUACCGCAUAACGUCGCAAGACCAAAGAGGGGGACCUUCGGGCCUCUUGCCAUCGGAUGUGCCCAGAUGGGAUUAGCUAGUAGGUGGGGUAACGGCUCACCUAGGCGACGAUCCCUAGCUGGUCUGAGAGGAUGACCAGCCACACUGGAACUGAGACACGGUCCAGACUCCUACGGGAGGCAGCAGUGGGGAAUAUUGCACAAUGGGCGCAAGCCUGAUGCAGCCAUGCCGCGUGUAUGAAGAAGGCCUUCGGGUUGUAAAGUACUUUCAGCGGGGAGGAAGGGAGUAAAGUUAAUACCUUUGCUCAUUGACGUUACCCGCAGAAGAAGCACCGGCUAACUCCGUGCCAGCAGCCGCGGUAAUACGGAGGGUGCAAGCGUUAAUCGGAAUUACUGGGCGUAAAGCGCACGCAGGCGGUUUGUUAAGUCAGAUGUGAAAUCCCCGGGCUCAACCUGGGAACUGCAUCUGAUACUGGCAAGCUUGAGUCUCGUAGAGGGGGGUAGAAUUCCAGGUGUAGCGGUGAAAUGCGUAGAGAUCUGGAGGAAUACCGGUGGCGAAGGCGGCCCCCUGGACGAAGACUGACGCUCAGGUGCGAAAGCGUGGGGAGCAAACAGGAUUAGAUACCCUGGUAGUCCACGCCGUAAACGAUGUCGACUUGGAGGUUGUGCCCUUGAGGCGUGGCUUCCGGAGCUAACGCGUUAAGUCGACCGCCUGGGGAGUACGGCCGCAAGGUUAAAACUCAAAUGAAUUGACGGGGGCCCGCACAAGCGGUGGAGCAUGUGGUUUAAUUCGAUGCAACGCGAAGAACCUUACCUGGUCUUGACAUCCACAGAACUUUCCAGAGAUGGAUUGGUGCCUUCGGGAACUGUGAGACAGGUGCUGCAUGGCUGUCGUCAGCUCGUGUUGUGAAAUGUUGGGUUAAGUCCCGCAACGAGCGCAACCCUUAUCCUUUGUUGCCAGCGGUCCGGCCGGGAACUCAAAGGAGACUGCCAGUGAUAAACUGGAGGAAGGUGGGG
Molecule: ribosomal RNA, 1179 nt
Filed under: Escherichia coli B106
Lineage: Bacteria; Pseudomonadati; Pseudomonadota; Gammaproteobacteria; Enterobacterales; Enterobacteriaceae
Description: bacterial SSU rRNA
Rfam family: Bacterial small subunit ribosomal RNA
Source: RNAcentral